This is a non-coding RNA of Hordeum vulgare subsp. vulgare (domesticated barley), 139 nucleotides long. NCBI's taxonomy places the organism in Eukaryota, Viridiplantae, Streptophyta, Magnoliopsida, Poales, Poaceae. The record is from Rfam.
AUUUUACUCCCUUCGUUUCAAAAUUCUUGUCUUUGAUUUGUGUAGAUAUGAAUGUAUUUAGUCAUGUAUUACUAUUAUUUAGAUGCAUUUAUUUUUAAAUAAAUUUAAAACAAUAAUUUUAAGACGGAGAGAGUACAAG